RNAcentral lists this unclassified non-coding RNA (21 nucleotides) under Chlamydomonas reinhardtii. Its description in RNAcentral is "small RNA Cre_1283". The record is from RNAcentral. Lineage: Eukaryota; Viridiplantae; Chlorophyta; Chlorophyceae; Chlamydomonadales; Chlamydomonadaceae.
CGCUGGCGGAGGUGGUGCUCA